This 468-nucleotide ribosomal RNA is filed under the name uncultured bacterium. Its description in RNAcentral is "partial 16S ribosomal RNA". It matches the Rfam family "Bacterial small subunit ribosomal RNA", at positions 28 to 507 of the family's 1533-position model. The record is from RNAcentral.
GACGAACGCUGGCGGCGUGCUUAACACAUGCAAGUCGAACGGAAAGGCCCUGCUUUUGUGGGGUGCUCGAGUGGCGAACGGGUGAGUAACACGUGAGUAACCUGCCCUUGACUUUGGGAUAACUUCAGGAAACUGGGGCUAAUACCGGAUAGGAGCUCCUGCUGCAUGGUGGGGGUUGGAAAGUUUCGGCGGUUGGGGAUGGACUCGCGGCUUAUCAGCUUGUUGGGGGGGUAGUGGCUUACCAAGGCUUUGGCGGGUAGGCGGCCUGAGAGGGUGACCGGCCACAUUGGGACUGAGAUACGGCCCAGACUCCUCCGGGAGGCAGCAGUGGGGAAUAUUGCACAAUGGGCGGAAGCCUGAUGCAGCAACGCCGCGUGCGGGAUGACGGCCUUCGGGUUGUAAACCGCUUUCGCCUGUGACGAAGCGUGAGUGACGGUAAUGGGUAGAGAAGCACCGGCUAACUACGUG